This 253-nucleotide ribosomal RNA is filed under the name uncultured bacterium. RNAcentral's name for it is "partial 16S ribosomal RNA". It matches the Rfam family "Bacterial small subunit ribosomal RNA", at positions 524 to 776 of the family's 1533-position model. The record is from RNAcentral.
UACGGGGGGGGCAAGCGUUGUUCGGAAUUACUGGGCGUAAAGGGCGCGUAGGCGGUUGGAUAAGUCAGCUGUGAAAACCACGGGCUUAACUCGUGGCCUGCAGUUGAGACUGUCUGGCUUGAGUGUGGGAGAGGAGAGUGGAAUUCCUGGUGUAGCGGUGAAAUGCGUAGAUAUCAGGAGGAACACCGGUGGCGAAGGCGGCUCUCUGGACAGUUACUGACGCUGAGGCACGAAGGCCAGGGGAGCAAACGGG